Molecule: long non-coding RNA, 569 nt
Organism: Nicotiana attenuata
Lineage: Eukaryota; Viridiplantae; Streptophyta; Magnoliopsida; Solanales; Solanaceae
Exons: 3
Source: RefSeq, a predicted model, not a curated record
CCCUCCAGUGAAUUGAAGGCUUCUUCAAACCCAAAUCCAGCAAAGGAAUUUUUCGACCAAGUAUACAUAUCGUUCUCUACCACAAUAGCUCGCUGAAAAUGGUGUUGUCGUAAUAUCCAAUAUCAUAGUGUGUAGAUGAUACUAUGUGAAUAGCCUUCAAGCUUCAUCAUCUCUUCAAGCUAGUUUGAAAGACUCUACAACUUGUUUCUUAUCAUCUGAAUUGGCUUUUUUUGUGAACUUAGAGGAGCCGCUAUCAAUUCAGUCAUGAUUCAAGAAGGGACAAGACAAAAGAAAAAAGUGAAAAUUUUGACAUUCGUUCAAGCUGGAACACUUACAUCUUUGGCAAAUCAGAAAAGGUUGAUGCGGACCAGAAAAACGAAUAUUCCAGCUAGCUCUAUACGGUUAAACGAAGAGCGUCAGGUUCUGAAUAAUUUAAUGGAAGAACAUCAGCUACUAAUGCCACAACAUCAGAGGGUAGGAGCCCAUUUACAAAGUGAUUCAACCACCCCUACAACACAAUCAGUAGAGCAAGAAGUGCAAUUGGAUGCUAAUGCUCCUACAGUAGAUGA